This 510-nucleotide ribosomal RNA is filed under the name uncultured bacterium. RNAcentral describes it as "partial 16S ribosomal RNA". It matches the Rfam family "Bacterial small subunit ribosomal RNA", at positions 28 to 507 of the family's 1533-position model. The record is from RNAcentral.
GACGAACGCUGGCGGCGUGCUUAACACAUGCAAGUCGAACGAAGAGCGAUGGAAGCUUGCUUCUAUCAAUAUUAGUGGCGAACGGGUGAGUAACGCGUAAUCAACCUGCCCUUCAGAGGGGGACAACAGUUGGAAACGACUGCUAAUACCGCAUACGAUCUAAUCUCGACAUCGAGGAUAGAUGAAAGGUGGCCUCUACAUGUAAGCUAUCACUGAAGGAGGGGAUUGCGCCUGAUUAGCAGGUUGGAGGGGUAACGGCCCACCAAGGCGAUGAUCAGUAGCCGGUCUGAGAGGAUGAACGGCCACAUUGGGACUGUGACACGGCCCAGACGCCUACGGGAGGCAGCAGUGGGGAAUCUUCCGCAAUGGACGAAAGUCUGACGGAGCAACGCCGCGUGAGCGAUGACGGCCUUCGGGUUGUAAAGCUCUGUUAAUCGGGACGAAAGGCCUUCUUGCGAAUAGUGAGAAGGAUUGACGGUACCGGAAUAGAAAGCCACGGCUAACUACGUG